RNAcentral lists this long non-coding RNA (3154 nucleotides) under Manihot esculenta (cassava). RNAcentral describes it as "long non-coding RNA (MESC_LNC012047)". The record is from RNAcentral. Lineage: Eukaryota; Viridiplantae; Streptophyta; Magnoliopsida; Malpighiales; Euphorbiaceae.
GCAAUCAUCACCGGUCAUAAUGUUUGAAUCAAUAAUGUUGAUCUCCUCCGACCGUCCAAUGUGAAUUCCAUCCGUGUUGGGACUAUGCCCCGGCGCUUUCACCGAAAAUCGCUGGAAGGUAAGGUUUUUGCUGCCGAGGAGAUUGACGUGGAACUGCUUGCUAUCUAUGGAUGUCACGUCCUCGACUAUGCUGUUAGUGACGAAGUCAAACCUUAGGUUCUGAUACAGUUUUGAUAGAACAGUUACGCAGAGAAAACGUAGUUAGUAUUACUGCCAUGAACGGGCCUAUGAAUGACCGUUAGUAAAGUAGCGUUUGGAUUUUCUUACAACUGGAAGUGCUUUCUUGCAUCCGCCGCCACAGCUCUUCCGCUGCCAAGCAAUUUCUCCUUGUCCGUCGAAGGCCCCACCACUGGAUACCGUUAAUCGGUCCAUGUAUCUCAAUGUAACCCAGCUAUUCUUGCGGUGCUAGCUAGCUUUUGCUGGCGCCACCAACGUUCCUUCCACUUGAAGAUGCAUGGCACCCUUGCAAGGGCCUAGCAAAUCCACCACGCCUAACGAGUACUUCCCUUUUGGUAUCACGACUUUGCCGGAACCCACUGCUCCACAAGCCCCCUUCCACGCACUCAGUAAAGCCUAAAAACGAAAACGGCAAUGAAAGACCUGACAGCAAUAAUCUAGGAAAUACAGUCGCGAUAUCGAGAACCGAGUUUACUUUCAUACCUUAGUGAUAUCCGACCCCUCCUUCACACCAUAUUUUGUGACAUCAAAGGUAUUGGGCUGAGCUCCGCUGGUAAAGGCAAACAGUAACACCAAAUAUGCUGCGCACACAUGUACCUUGGAACCCAUAUCUCUCUUUUCAAGGCGCUUCGUCUCUUUCGAUAUCUACAGCCUAUAUUGAUUUCUAAAUGUUUGUGCAUUUCUCCUCCUCUGUAAGGCCUUUUAUAUUUCAGGCGGCUCGUUUAAUUUACUCAAGGUUUAUUACAGGCUGUAGCAUUUUCAUACAUCCCGUUUUCUGUUUUUCCUUUUUGUUUUGCGUUAAAUGUUUUGAGCUUAAAAAAAAAAGCCUACGUACGCUAACCUGCAACUAAAAACUACAACUUCCGCAUUUCUCUCUAACAUAUUCUUUUAUAUUGGAACCCUUUAUAACUUAUGCAACAAUCUCUUCGUUCUCCCACAAUAUUCUGGACGUAUUGGACGCGAAACGAGCCCGGAGACCGCACCCGCAAUUCAUUUCCUCACGCGUGCAUGUAGAACAAAAUUUUGACAAGUACAGUGCAACAUGAAAAGAGGAAAACAGAAAAAUAAAAAAAGAACUAACAGGCCGUUAUUCCGUCUUUUCUCCUUUGGUACCUGAAGGCGCAUCGUAUUAUUUUACGUGUACUUGAUUUUAGCGUCGAAAAUAUGCUCAGCUUCGAUUUUAAUUAUUUAUUUAUAAUGGAACGCAAAUAUAAAAAAGAAAAAAAAAGAAAAGGAAAAGAAAGAAAGAAAUUCACAAUAAUAAGAACAUCUUAAUAUGAGACUUCAUCUCUUCACAAUGGGAUAUAUGUAUAUAUAUUUCUCCUUUUUUCCGAAACAAAUAAAUACUUCUUGAAUAAAUGAAUAAAGAAUUGAAAAAAGAAUCAGCACAGUUACAUAGCCGAUCACGGAUAAAUGGUUUAUUAGGAAAAUAAAUUAUGCUAGAAAAGCGAAAGGAUAAAUAUUUAGAACAACCUGAUAUAUAUUUUUGAACAGCAUUAUUUUAAUUGAAAAGGAAAAUGAAUUUUGAAUUAUAAUGCUAAGCCUAUGACUACAGGAAAAUAAAUUUUAUUAUAUCAAAUUUAUUAAUUUCAAAUUAUAGCGUUUCAAUUAAAAAUAUCAUCUUGAACUUUGAUAUAGUUGAAUUUUAACACCGCAACAUAAUUUACAGCGCGUUUUAAUUUUGAAUUUUGACACUAUUAAAUUACUAAGUUCAUUCAAUAAUAUAUCUUUUAUUAUUUCAUCUUGCAUUCCAAGUUUUAUAUGUUGAUUAACUUUUCAAAUAGAAAUAGAGGACUUAAAGAAGUAUUUAUAUAGUAUUUAAUAUCAAUUGAUUUUCUUUUAAUAUAUCUUUUAAUAUCAAUUGAUAUAUUCAGUAAUUGGUGAGCUUUUAUAUUUGUUUAAGUAAAAUGAAGCACAUUGUUUAAUAGGUAAAUUUUUUAAAUUGAUUUUCUAUUUUGGAUAGAGCUAAAUUGAAAUCAUAUCUGACUAUGUUCAUUUAAAUUUAAAAAGUGUAAUGAUAGUCUUGUAAAAUUACUAUACUGUGCGUCAGACAAAUGAGAAACAUUCUCCGUUUAAAUUAAGAAUCAAAAGUGAGUGCAUUAACAUCCUCUCGGAAUCAACUUUCCUAUAAUCUUAGGCUUAACAUUUGUACAAAUAGAUUUUGCAGGACCCUUAGAUCCGGUGUACUGGAGGUUAACGUUAGAAAGUUCAACGUUCAUGCAUGGUACGCUGCUGCUGCAUGUCAAUUGAACGGCUGUGGGCGUUCUUGACGAUCCUCGAAUAUUCUUGAAAAUGACGUCGCUUAUUUUAACUUUUGAUGGCAUCUGCAAAAAGUCGCAAUAUUUUAGCAUAAUUGUAACACACCCAUAUAUAUAAAUUCUCCUUCUUGUUAUGAAAAAAUAAAAAUUGAGAAGUUACCUUGCGAUUGCAUUCGUUAUGCGGGCAGUACAUUUGAUCUAUAAUGAUGGGAUUGCUGACGUUUUGCAUGACGAUAUCCUCGAACUGGAUAUUCGACACACUGCCACCAUGCAAUGCGGGCCAAGUCUUAAUUCUCACGCCAUUGUCGGUGUCGUAUAUUGUGCAAUUCUUCACAUAAAUUCCAGACACAGGUUCUUCCUUCUCGUACUUUCCUAAACUUCCAAUACUAAUGCCAUGCCCGUGUCCGCACCUUACGUUUGUGAUUCGUACUCGCCUGCUCCCCCGGCCAAUGGAGAUGCAAUCAUCACCGGUGAUAAUGUUUGAAUUAAUAAUGUUGAUCUCCUCCGACCGUUUAAUGUGAAUUCCAUCCGUGUUGGGACUAUGCCCCGGCGCUUUCACCGAAAAUCGCUGGAACGUAAGGUUUUUGCUGCCGAGGAGAUUGACGUGGAACUGCUUGCUAUCUAUGGAUGUCACGUCCUCGACUAUGCUGUUGGUGACG